Molecule: non-coding RNA, 118 nt
Filed under: Felis catus (domestic cat)
Lineage: Eukaryota; Metazoa; Chordata; Mammalia; Carnivora; Felidae
Description: Bacterial large subunit ribosomal RNA
Rfam family: Bacterial large subunit ribosomal RNA
Source: Rfam by way of RNAcentral
CCCGAAACCAGACGAGCACCUCUGAACACUCUUUACAGGAUGAACUCAUCUAUGUUGCAAACUAGUGAGAAGAUUUGGAGGUGGAGGUGAAAAGCCUCACGGGCCUGGUGACAGCUGG